GCGGGUGUAGUUUAAUGGUAAAACCUCAGCCUUCCAAGCUGAUGACGAGGGUUCGAUUCCNUGGUAAAACCUCAGCCUUCCAAGCUGAUGACGAGGGUUCGAUUCCCUUCACCCGCU
RNAcentral lists this transfer RNA (117 nucleotides) under Virgibacillus pantothenticus. It matches the Rfam family "tRNA". Rfam says of the family: Transfer RNA (tRNA) molecules are approximately 80 nucleotides in length. Their secondary structure includes four short double-helical elements and three loops (D, anti-codon, and T loops). Further hydrogen bonds mediate the characteristic L-shaped molecular structure. tRNAs have two regions of fundamental functional importance: the anti-codon, which is responsible for specific mRNA codon recognition, and the 3' end, to which the tRNAs corresponding amino acid is attached (by aminoacyl-tRNA synthetases). tRNAs cope with the degeneracy of the genetic code in two manners: having more than one tRNA (with a specific anti-codon) for a particular amino acid; and 'wobble' base-pairing, i.e. permitting non-standard base-pairing at the 3rd anti-codon position. The record is from Rfam by way of RNAcentral. Lineage: Bacteria; Bacillati; Bacillota; Bacilli; Caryophanales; Bacillaceae.